GUUAACUCGAAGAGGCUCGCGUCCCUUUACACACCCUUUGUAUGUCUUAAGAAUGUCUACUCGAUGUAAUAAAACGCAUCUAAUACAACUUUCAACAACGGAUCUCUUGGCUCUCGCAUCGAUGAAGAACGCAGCGAAAUGCGAUAAGUAAUGUGAAUUGCAGAAUUCAGUGAAUCAUCGAAUCUUUGAACGCACCUUGCGCCCUUUGGUAUUCCGAAGGGCACACCUGUUUGAGUGUCGUGAAAUUCUCAACCCUCUUCACUUUUGUGAACGUAGUGGAUUGGACUUGGAGGCUUUGCCGGGCUUCACCGCUCGGCUCCUCUCAAAUGCAUUAGUGCGUCUUGUUGCGACGUGCGCCUCGGUGUGAUAAUUAUCUACGCUGUGGUGUGCUUGCUUCUGUGGAGACGCGCUUUCUAACCGUCCGAAAGGACAGCUUUCAUCGAACUUUGACCUCAAAUCAGGUGGGACUACCCGCUGAACUUAAGCAUAUCAAUAAGCGGAGGAAAAGAAACUAACAAGGAUUCCCCUAGUAACUGCGAGUGAAGCGGGAAAAGCUCAAAUUUAAAAUCUGGCGGUCUUCUGGCCGUCCGAGUUGUAGUCUGGAGAAGCGUUUUCCGCGUUGGACCGUGUACAAGUUUCCUGGAACGGAGCGUCA
This 655-nucleotide ribosomal RNA is filed under the name Stereum hirsutum. RNAcentral's name for it is "eukaryotic LSU rRNA". The stretch from base 87 to 240 matches the Rfam family "5.8S ribosomal RNA". Lineage: Eukaryota; Fungi; Basidiomycota; Agaricomycetes; Russulales; Stereaceae. The record is from RNAcentral.